CAAAGAUUAAGCCAUGCAAGUGUCAGUUCAUGCCAAACUAAGGUGAAACCGCGAAAGGCUCAUUAAAUCAGUUACAGUUUACUUGAUGGCAUGACGUUACCGUUACUUGGAUAACUGUGGCAAUUCUAGAGCUAAUACAUGCACUCGAGUCCCGACCGCGUUAGCGCGCGGAAGGGAUGCUUUUAUUAGAUCAAAACCAAUCGGGAAAUCGGGCCUGGCUCCCGACGUACCGUACAGUCUUGGUGACUCUGGAUAAAUUGUCGCUGAUCGCAAGGUCUUCGCGCCUGCGACGCAUCUUUCAAAUGUCUGACUUAUCAACUAUCGACGGUAUGCCACGUGCCUACCGUGGUGGUAACGGGUAACGGGGAAUCAGGGUUCGAUUCCGGAGAGGGAGCCUGCGAAACAGCUACCACAUCCAAGGAAGGCAGCAGGCGCGCAAAUUACCCACUCCCGGCACGGGGAGGUAGUGACGAAAAAUAACGAUGCAGGACUCUAUCAUGAGGCUCUGCAAUCGGAAUGAGAAGACUCUAAAUCAUUUACCGAGUAUCCAUUGGAGGGCAAGUCUGG
RNAcentral lists this ribosomal RNA (567 nucleotides) under Menopon gallinae (poultry shaft louse). RNAcentral's name for it is "bacterial SSU rRNA". It matches the Rfam family "Eukaryotic small subunit ribosomal RNA", at positions 38 to 564 of the family's 1831-position model. Lineage: Eukaryota; Metazoa; Arthropoda; Insecta; Psocodea; Menoponidae. The record is from RNAcentral.